UAUUAGGAAACACGAACAGUAAACACAUAGAUCAAAAAGAAAAUCAAAAAGGUAAAACAAACUCAGUGCUGAUAAUGACCAAGAAGAAAUAAAGUUUUAAGAAGUAUUGGAAGAGACUUUGUGGUGGAGGCUGGUUUAAUUUUGAUGCAGGGGAAAGACCUCUUGACCGAGGUAAGUUAUGAGUUGAGAAGUGAAUUAUGAGUAGACUCCAAAUGCAAAGAUCUGGGGGGAGAGGAUUCUGGUAGAAGGAACACCUCUACAAGAUCUCUAAGAUGUAAAUAAGUGGGAUUCUUCUCAGGAAUAUACGUAGGCCCAUUGAGGCUGGAGGAGGAGAGAGAGAGUAUGGGCUAAGUCAAGUGAGCAAGACCAGUUCAUUUAGCUGGUUCACUUUAGCCAGAGGUAGGCUAAAGGCAGCUCAUGCAAACUCUCAUGAGAUGAUUUUUCAACUAUUUUGUGAGCCUGUUGCUAAAUGCAAGCCUGAUAAAAAAACAAAUUGUGUAAACUUGCAAUUGAGUAAAUUUUAUUAAAAACAAACACAAUAAAUACUCAAAAAUCCAUUACAUUCUCACUAUUUUACUACAUUUUAUUACUACUUAUGCUCUUAAGGUUAUUUAUGCCCACUGAAUUUGUUUAGUAAACAUAUUACAUAGUAAUAAGCUACUGCACAUCUCUUGCCAAAUGUGUCUUUAGCGACAUCAUGUGGGUAGUUUGACAUCAGGCGCACCGUGAAUGUUUACGUCAUGGAAAUCAGCUUACACUGUGAAUCACAGUUGUUUGGCAGGUCGAUAAACUAAUUCACCAAGCCCCCACUGACUAUCACUGUAGCAAAGACACAGAAGGGUGGAAACCAGAUGCUGCAGAGGGCAGGCCCACAACUUCACUCAGGAAUUGAAGACACUUGGGGUCACAGCAAGCUCAGCCACUGGCUAAGAGAGCAGGGACAUCAAAUCCAAGUAGAGAAAGAAGGACCAUUGAGUUGCUGUCUCCAGACACCAUUGAGAAGAUCUGGGUGGAACUGGGACUCACUGCAAUAUAUUAAGUUAAAGGAGGAAAAUCUUCACCUUCCUUUGUAUGUCUUAUUCCUAAAAUAUGUUCUUGUUAUUUUACUUCAGGAUUUAUAGAAUUUUUUCAUGUGCAUUGUCUAUAAGAUACAGAGGUAAGAUACAGGUGAUUAUUCUCAUUUUGAAAAGGAGGAAAGAAACUCUGAGAAGUUCAGUGAUAUGUCCAAAAUCACAGGAGUCAUCUCAGUGCAAAUCCACUCAUUUACUCAUUUAUUCAUGCAACAUGUUUUUUGCACUUAACUCCCUAGAAAUCAGUGACAGAUUCAUCAUGGACCUAACAAAACUAAAGCUUUAGGGCCCCACAUCUACAUGGCCACCAAGGUGUUUGAAGAGACCCUAGAUGUUGGCUUAUCUGCUUAUGAACGUCAUCUAUUUUGUAAAAUUUGCCAAGGUCAUAGAGUUAAACUAAAUAAGGAGAAGUUAAGAUGUGGAUACAUUUGAUGUGAUCAUGGUGGAGUUGAUUAUGUCACUUGCAGUCACUAGAGGGGUGAGUGAUUGCUGGUUGUCUAGGUAUAAGAAAGGGCUGCAGGAGCGCAUCCACUGUCCACUGUGUGGUCCCCAGGUCUGAAGAUCUUGAUAACUCUGGAGAAUGUGUUCCCCGGCAUCUGCCUCUUCAAUCUCUGGACAAAACAGAAUUUCCUGUCAGUAAUAAACUUGAUAAUAAAGCAUAAAUAAUUUGAGCACACAGAUUUUUUUUCUUUUUCUAUUACAACUAU
Molecule: long non-coding RNA, 1777 nt
Organism: Marmota monax (woodchuck)
Lineage: Eukaryota; Metazoa; Chordata; Mammalia; Rodentia; Sciuridae
Exons: 2
Source: RefSeq, a predicted model, not a curated record